RNAcentral lists this ribosomal RNA (406 nucleotides) under uncultured bacterium. RNAcentral's name for it is "partial 16S ribosomal RNA". It matches the Rfam family "Bacterial small subunit ribosomal RNA", at positions 30 to 526 of the family's 1533-position model. The record is from RNAcentral.
AUUGAACGCUGGCGGCAGGCCUAACACAUGCAAGUCGAACGAGAGGCGGACGGGUGAGUAAUGUCUGGGAAACUGCCUGAAGGCGGGGGAUAAAUACUGGAAACGGUAGCUAAUACAGCAUACGAUCAGUUGUGCCCAGAUGGGAUUAGCUAGUUGGUGGGGUAACGGCUCACCAAGGCGACGAUCCCUAGCUGGUCUGAGAGGGUGACCAGCCACACUGGAACUGAGACACGGUCCAGACUCCUACGGGAGGCAGCAGUGGGGAAUAUUGCACAAUGGGCGAAAGCCUGAUGCAGCCAUGCCGCGUGUGUGAAGAAGGCCUUCGGGUUGUAAAGUACUUUCAGCGGGGAGGCGUUACCCGCAGAAGAAGCACCGGCUAACUCCGUGCCAGCAGCCGCGGUAAUUC